Molecule: ribosomal RNA, 246 nt
Filed under: uncultured bacterium
Lineage: Bacteria
Description: partial 16S ribosomal RNA
Rfam family: Bacterial small subunit ribosomal RNA
Source: RNAcentral
GCAAGUCGUACGCGAAAGCACUUCGGUGCAAGUAGAGUGGCGAAAGGGCGAGGAAUAAGUACCUAACGUGCCUUCAGGUAAGGGAUAGCUCAUGGAAACGUGUGGUAAUACCUUAUAAUCUCAAUUUUCCGUAUGGUUAGUUGAGCAAAGGCUUGCUGCCUGAAGAUCGGGGUACUUCCUAUCAGCUUGUUGGUAAGGUAAUGGCUUACCAAGGCUAAGACGGGUAGCGGGUGUGAGAGCAUGACC